UUCUCUUAGAAUUCAUUAAGAGUAAACCCUGCUCAAUGAAUUUUAAAUAGCCGCAGACAACUGUGUUAAAGUAGCAUAAUAAUUUGCCUUUUAAUUGAGGGCUAGAAUGAAAGGGUAUACCUAAUACAUUCUGUCUCUUCCCUUAAUCUUGAAUCUAAAUUUAUAGUAAAAAUGCUAUUAAAAAUAAAAAGGACGACAAGACCCUAUCAAACUUAACUAAAGUUUAGCUGGGGCGGCAAAAAAGAAAAUCUUUUUUAAACUUAUCUAAAUUAUUAAAUCAACAAGUUACUGUAGGGAUAACAGCACAAUUUAUUUCUAGAGCACAUAUCUAAAAAUAAGAUUAUGACCUCGAUGUUGAAUAAAUUCCCUAAUUCACGCACCCGUGAAAAUAGUAAGUCUGUUCGACUUUUAAAAAUUUACA
This 421-nucleotide ribosomal RNA is filed under the name Sphodros atlanticus. RNAcentral's name for it is "partial 16S ribosomal RNA". It matches the Rfam family "Bacterial large subunit ribosomal RNA", at positions 1831 to 2600 of the family's 2925-position model. The record is from RNAcentral. Lineage: Eukaryota; Metazoa; Arthropoda; Arachnida; Araneae; Atypidae.